GAUCAGCUCAGCUCAGUAGAGCAUCCCGAUUUUGAUCGGGAGGGUCCUGGGUUCGAGCCCCAGAGGGAUCA
This 71-nucleotide transfer RNA is filed under the name Algoriphagus halophytocola. RNAcentral describes it as "Algoriphagus sp. TR-M5 tRNA-Lys". It matches the Rfam family "tRNA". From Rfam's summary of the family: Transfer RNA (tRNA) molecules are approximately 80 nucleotides in length. Their secondary structure includes four short double-helical elements and three loops (D, anti-codon, and T loops). Lineage: Bacteria; Pseudomonadati; Bacteroidota; Cytophagia; Cytophagales; Cyclobacteriaceae. The record is from RNAcentral.